GGGAUUAUAGCUCAGCUGGUUAGAGCACCACGUUGACAUCGUGGGGGUCAUAGGUUCGAGUCCUACUAAUCCCACCA
RNAcentral lists this transfer RNA (77 nucleotides) under Clostridiales bacterium. RNAcentral's name for it is "tRNA-Val". It matches the Rfam family "tRNA". From Rfam's summary of the family: Transfer RNA (tRNA) molecules are approximately 80 nucleotides in length. Lineage: Bacteria; Bacillati; Bacillota; Clostridia; Eubacteriales. RNAcentral also lists the same sequence under 1 other name. The record is from RNAcentral.